RNAcentral lists this ribosomal RNA (500 nucleotides) under uncultured bacterium. RNAcentral's name for it is "partial 16S ribosomal RNA". It matches the Rfam family "Bacterial small subunit ribosomal RNA", at positions 30 to 523 of the family's 1533-position model. The record is from RNAcentral.
AUUGAACGCUGGCGGCAGGCCUAACACAUGCAAGUCGAGCGGAUGACGGGAGCUUGCUCCUUGAUUCAGCGGCGGACGGGUGAGUAAUGCCUAGGAAUCUGCCUGGUAGUGGGGGACAACGUUUCGAAAGGAACGCUAAUACCGCAUACGUCCUACGGGAGAAAGCAGGGGGCCUUCGGGCCUUGCGCUAUCAGAUGAGCCUAGGUCGGAUUAGCUAGUUGGUGGGGUAAUGGCUGACCAAGGCGACGAUCCGUAACUGGUCUGAGAGGAUGAUCAGACACACUGGAAGUGAGACACGGUCCAGACUCCUACGGGAGGCAGCAGUGGGGAAUAUUGGACAAUGGGCGAAAGCCUGAUCAAGCCAUGCCGCGUGUGUGAAGAAGGUCUUCGGAUUGUAAAGCACUUUAAGUUGGGAGGAAGGGCAGUAAGUUAAUACCUUGCUGUUUUGACGUUACCGACAGAAUAAGCUCCGGCUAACUCUGUGCCAGCCGCCGCCGUAA